GGGGAAUUUUCCGCAAUGGGCGAAAGCCUGACGGAGCAAUACCGCGUGAGGGAGGAAGGCUUUUGGGUUGUAAACCUCUUUUAUCAAGGAAGAAGAAAGUGACGGUACUUGAAGAAUAAGCAUCGGCUAACUCCGUGCCAGCAGCCGCGGUAAUACGGAGGAUGCAAGCGUUAUCCGGAAUCAUUGGGCGUAAAGCGUCCGCAGGUGGCUCGUCAAGUCUGCUGUUAAAGACAGAAGCUUAACUUCUGAGAAGCGGUGGAAACUGGGGAGCUAGAGUACGGUAGGGGUUGAGGGAAUUCCCAGUGUAGCGGUGAAAUGCGUAGAGAUUGGGAAGAACACCAGUGGCGAAGGCGCUCUGCUGGGCCAUCACUGACGCUCAUGGACGAAAGCCAGGGGAGCGAAAGGGAUUAGAUACCCCUGUAGUCA
Molecule: ribosomal RNA, 426 nt
Filed under: uncultured cyanobacterium
Lineage: Bacteria; Bacillati; Cyanobacteriota
Description: bacterial SSU rRNA
Rfam family: Bacterial small subunit ribosomal RNA
Source: RNAcentral